GGCAGCAGUGGGGAAUUUUGGACAAUGGGGGCAAGCCUGAUCCACACAUGGCGCGUGCGUGAAGAAGGCCUUCGGGUUGUAAAGCCCUUUUGUCCGGAAAGAAAAGCCUCGGGCUAAUACCCGGAGGUUAUGACGGUACCGGAAGAAGAAGCCCCGGCUAACUUCGUGCCAGCAGCCGCGGUAAUACGUAGGGGGCGAGCGUUAUUCGGAAUUACUGGGCGUAAAGCGUGCGUAGGCGGUUUCUUAAGUCAGAUGUGAAAGCCCUGGGCUCAACCUGGGAAAUGCAUUUGAAACUGGCGAGCUAGAGUGCGGGAGAGGGAAGUGGAAUUCCCGGUGUAGCAGUGAAAUGCGUAGAUAUCGGGAGGAACACCAGUGGCGAAGGCGGCCUUCUGGCCCAGCACUGACGCUGAGGCACGAAAGCGUGGGGAGCAAACAGGAUUAGAUACCCUGGUAGUCCACGCCCUAAACGAUGGGAACUAGGUGUUGGGGGCA
Molecule: ribosomal RNA, 492 nt
Filed under: uncultured bacterium
Lineage: Bacteria
Description: bacterial SSU rRNA
Rfam family: Bacterial small subunit ribosomal RNA
Source: RNAcentral